CUUGCUGGGAAUAAUGAGAAGUAUAGAGGCAGGUGUUUAGGUGGCUGAGGUUGCCAGGGCUACGCGGCUUGUCUUCCAUGACCGAUCAGCACAGUGAGAAAAAGCAGGGACAUGAUGUCCUGGCUUACUGCACAAGAAUCAUUCUAGAAGGGCAAAGCAACGAACAGGAGAACAUUUCUUUCUUUCAUGAAACCAUUCGGUGCCAGACACUCUGGAAGAUCAGCAUGCCUGUUGCUAGCUAUUGGUGUCCAAAACACUUCAGUCAGUGCAGUGAGAAGGUUGAGUGACAACCCCUUCCUAGUAUACCACUUUUGAACAGGACAGUGUGGAACAGCUCGGUAUGGUGAUCAGUUUGAUUCCUUGUCCUACUUGUACUCUGUAAUUGAGUAAUGGCUCACUGCGAUGAAGGACUCCAAAUCUGACUGCCAGAACAUGGCCAUAACUCAUCCUUGAUGAGACUGCUCUCUCACAGCAGCUUACAGAUACGACAAAUUUAAUUGCACUGAAAGAGGAAAGCCGAGCACACUCAGAAUGUUCCAGCAAAGCCUUUUCCAAAAAGAGCUCUGACUACUUUACUGCACAAAGAAGGAAGGGAAAAAAAGGAAAGUGAACUGAAUUCCUCUACUGCCUCUUUUUGAUGUGCAGCCAUGUACAGAAAUCUGCAUUUAUAAACUGUUAUCUGUCCAAUACAUUGAAUUUGAG
This is a long non-coding RNA of Ictalurus punctatus (channel catfish), 702 nucleotides long. The record is from Ensembl. Lineage: Eukaryota; Metazoa; Chordata; Actinopteri; Siluriformes; Ictaluridae.